UCAAUACCAAAAUCCUUUUCCAUUAAUUUUAUUGUGGAUGUGUUUUUCUUGGAUGGUUUUCUUUAUGAUAAAUAACUAUCUAUAUGGAUAAAAUUGAAAUUAUUACUACAGCUGAAUAGCUUCAGUUUCCUUUCCACAUCUCAUUAGGAGCUUCAUUAGAAGAACAAAUUUAAUAUGUUAUUUCCUAAUCUUGCAAGAUAUCAGGU
RNAcentral lists this long non-coding RNA (206 nucleotides) under Carica papaya (papaya). RNAcentral's name for it is "long non-coding RNA (CPAP_LNC016083)". The record is from RNAcentral. Lineage: Eukaryota; Viridiplantae; Streptophyta; Magnoliopsida; Brassicales; Caricaceae.